Molecule: non-coding RNA, 109 nt
Organism: Acanthosepion pharaonis
Lineage: Eukaryota; Metazoa; Mollusca; Cephalopoda; Sepiida; Sepiidae
Source: the annotation of a GenBank genome assembly
ACGGCAAUAUCACGUUGAAAAUAUCCGUUCCCCUAAGAUCACCGAAGUUAAGCAACGUCGAGCCUGCUCAGUACCUAAAUGAGUUACCGCUUGGGAAUAACGUGCUGUA